GCCUCAGGUCCCAGCCGGCUGCUACUCCUGCUGGCCAGCCUCCCCCUCGUCCUGGGAGCCCCUAUGUGAGUAACCCCCUUCCGGGUGGCGGGGAGCCGGCAUUUGUAGGUACAGGCUCUUGUGGAAUUCCAGAGGUGUGUGGGGGUCCAGGGUCAGAGGGUUGGGAUGCUAGCGGACCUGGGCUGCCUGUGGUUCAGGGGUGCUUGUCGAACCCAGGUAUUCGAUCAUCACCCCAAACAUCCUGCGGCUGGAGAAGGAGGAGACCGUAGUCCUGGAGGCCCACGAAGCCCAAGGCGACAUUCCGGUCACGGUCACCGUCCAUGACUUCCCGGCCAAG
This 337-nucleotide long non-coding RNA is filed under the name Fukomys damarensis (Damara mole-rat). Its description in RNAcentral is "lncRNA (ENSFDAG00000030041.1)". The record is from RNAcentral. Lineage: Eukaryota; Metazoa; Chordata; Mammalia; Rodentia; Bathyergidae.